AGCAGAACGGUCAAAAUCAAGAGUGACAGGUGACACGAAGAUGAAGAAGAAUAACAACAGCAGUGGUGGAGGCGGUGGUGGAGGCGGUGGUGGAGGCAGGGACGGCAGCAGUUGUUUCAGAAAAUUGUUAAAGGGAAUAAUAUUCUCUUUGCUAGUCA
This is a non-coding RNA of Penaeus vannamei (Pacific white shrimp), 158 nucleotides long. The record is from RefSeq and is a predicted model, not a curated record. Lineage: Eukaryota; Metazoa; Arthropoda; Malacostraca; Decapoda; Penaeidae.